This is a long non-coding RNA of Belonocnema kinseyi, 429 nucleotides long. RefSeq lists it as uncharacterized. The transcript is spliced from 2 exons. NCBI's taxonomy places the organism in Eukaryota, Metazoa, Arthropoda, Insecta, Hymenoptera, Cynipidae. The record is from RefSeq and is a predicted model, not a curated record.
UGGAAGGACAAUCAGGGAUUACACUUUUUAACAGAAUGUUUUUGUGUUAAGAAGGUUUCUGACCCGAGAAAGGAAAUAACUGCUAGUUAGAAUGCCGUCGAGAGUAAAAAAGAAGACCGUGGAGAAAAUUCCUAAAUCACCAUCAGCUACAAUCAGUAAACCUAAAAGGACAUUUUUCACGUAUUUCGAAGUUGAUUUAAAAAAAGUCUUGGAAUAAAUUAAAAAUGAGACCGCGAUUGCAGCAUCCAGUAAACAAUAUAAAAUUCCAAGAAAAACUUUGCGUAAUAAACUGCCAGGAAAAGCAUCACAAACUUCAGGUCGUGUUGAUCCAAAAUAUGUACUUAGUCACAAUAUCGAAAAUAAAUUGGAGAAGUGAUUAUUAGGAACAAGCAGAAUGGGUUUUCCAAUAAAUAAAUACUUCUUAGUACA